RNAcentral lists this ribosomal RNA (320 nucleotides) under uncultured bacterium. RNAcentral's name for it is "bacterial SSU rRNA". It matches the Rfam family "Bacterial small subunit ribosomal RNA", at positions 29 to 334 of the family's 1533-position model. The record is from RNAcentral.
AACGAACGCUGGCGGCGUGCCUAACACAUGCAAGUCGAGCGAGAACGGUCUUCGGACUUAGUACAGCGGCGCACGGGUGAGUAACACGUGGAUAAUCUGCCCUAAGGUUCGGAACAACUCGAGGAAACUCGGGCUAAUUCCGGAUAAGACCACGAUCGGAAACGACAGUGGUAAAAGUGGGGGACCCUUUCGGGGGCCUCACGCCAAAGGAUGAGUCCGCGGCCCAUCAGUUUGUUGGCGGGGUAACGGCCCACCAAGGCUAAGACGGGUAGCAGGUCUGAGAGGAUGAUCUGCCACAUUGGAACUGAGAUACGGUCCAG